CUGCGGCAUGAAACUUGGUCAAUACCUUUUUUGUUCUUUUACCAGUUGCAUUCUCUAAAACUCUGACAUUAUUAUUUUAAUUUUUUUUUUAUGUCAAUUAAUUAGUACUUUCCAUCUGUUUAAUAUUUUUAAUCCAUAACGUAAAAAUCAUGAAAGAGGUUAAGUUGUACAUGUAUGUACGAAGCAUAUCUCAAUAUUUAAAUACAAAAGAUCGACUAGAAUUCAGUUUCAAAAAAAAAAAAAAAGAUCGACUAGAAUAAGUAUCAUUGACUG
RNAcentral lists this long non-coding RNA (273 nucleotides) under Brassica napus (rape). Its description in RNAcentral is "long non-coding RNA (BNAP_LNC006114)". Lineage: Eukaryota; Viridiplantae; Streptophyta; Magnoliopsida; Brassicales; Brassicaceae. The record is from RNAcentral.